RNAcentral lists this ribosomal RNA (789 nucleotides) under uncultured bacterium. RNAcentral describes it as "bacterial SSU rRNA". It matches the Rfam family "Bacterial small subunit ribosomal RNA", at positions 36 to 836 of the family's 1533-position model. The record is from RNAcentral.
CNGGCGGCGUGCCUACACAUGCAAGUCGAGCGGANAUGCGGCGUANUAAUACAAAGUAUCCUUAGCGGCGGACGGGUGAGUAACACGUGGGUAACCUGCCUCAGAGUGGGGGAUAGCCUUUCGAAAGGAAGAUUAAUACCGCAUAAGAUUGUAGCGUCACAUGGCGCAGCAAAAAAAGGAGCAAUCCGCUUUGAGAUGGACCCGCGGCGCAUUAGCUAGUUGGUGAGGUAACGGCUCACCAAGGCCACGAUGCGUAGCCGACCUGAGAGGGUGAUCGGCCUCAUUGGAACUAAGACACGGUCCAGACUCCUACGGGAGGCAGCAGUGGGGAAUAUUGCACAAUGGGCGAAAGCCUGAUGCAGCAACGCCGCGUGAGUGAUGAAGGCCUUCGGGUCGUAAAGCUCUUUGAUCAGGGAUGAUAAUGACAGUACCUGAAAAACAAGCCACGGCUAACUACGUGCCAGCAGCCGCGGUAAUACGUAGGUGGCGAGCGUUGUCCGGAAUUAUUGGGCGUAAAGGAUGCGUAGGUGGAUAUUUAAGUGGGAUGUGAAAUCCCCGGGCUCAACCCGGGAACUGCAUUCCAUACUGGAUAUCUAGAGUGCAGGAGAGGAAAGCGGAAUUCCUAGUGUAGCGGUGAAAUGCGUAGAUAUUAGGAGGAACACCAGUGGCGAAGGCGGCUUUCUGGACUGUAACUGACACUGAGGCAUGAAAGCGUGGGUAGCAAACAGAAUUAGAUACCCUGGUAGUCCACGCCGUAAACGAUGGGUACUAGGUGUAGGANGUAUCGAC